UAACGAAUAUUCCGCAAUGCGCGAAAGCGUGACGGAGCAAUGCCGCGUGCAGGAUGAAGCCCCUCGGGGUGUAAACUGCUGUCAGGGGCCAGGAAUUUUGACCAGCCCCAGAGGAAGAACCGGCUAACUCUGUGCCAGCAGCCGCGGUAAUACAGAGGGUUCGAGCGUUAAUCGGAAUCACUGGGCUUAAAGCGUGCGUAGGCGGCCCUGCAAGUAUCUUGUGAAAUCCCACGGCUCAACCGUGGAAUUGCUCGGUAGACUGCAGGGCUUGAGCCCGACAGAGGUCGUCGGAACUCUAGGUGGAGCGGUGAAAUGCGUAGAUAUCUAGGGGAACGCCCAAGGUGAAGACAGGCGACUGGGUCGGAGCUGACGCUGAGGCACGAAAGCGUGGGUAGCGAACGGGAUUAGAUACCCCCGUAGUCC
This 423-nucleotide ribosomal RNA is filed under the name uncultured prokaryote. Its description in RNAcentral is "bacterial SSU rRNA". It matches the Rfam family "Bacterial small subunit ribosomal RNA", at positions 355 to 796 of the family's 1533-position model. The record is from RNAcentral.